AGAGUUUGAUCCUGGCUCAGAUUGAACGCUGGCGGCAGGCCUAACACAUGCAAGUCGAGCGGUAGAGAGAAGCUUGCUUCUCUUGAGAGCGGCGGACGGGUGAGUAAUGCCUAGGAAUCUGCCUGGUAGUGGGGGAUAACGUUCGGAAACGGACGCUAAUACCGCAUACGUCCUACGGGAGAAAGCAGGGGACCUUCGGGCCUUGCGCUAUCAGAUGAGCCUAGGUCGGAUUAGCUAGUUGGUGGGGUAAUGGCUCACCAAGGCGACGAUCCGUAACUGGUCUGAGAGGAUGAUCAGUCACACUGGAACUGAGACACGGUCCAGACUCCUACGGGAGGCAGCAGUGGGGAAUAUUGGACAAUGGGCGAAAGCCUGAUCCAGCCAUGCCGCGUGUGUGAAGAAGGUCUUCGGAUUGUAAAGCACUUUAAGUUGGGAGGAAGGGUUGUAGAUUAAUACUCUGCAAUUUUGACGUUACCGACAGAAUAAGCACCGGCUAACUCUGUGCCAGCAGCCGCGGUAAUACAGAGGGUGCAAGCGUUAAUCGGAAUUACUGGGCGUAAAGCGCGCGUAGGUGGUUUGUUAAGUUGGAUGUGAAAUCCCCGGGCUCAACCUGGGAACUGCAUUCAAAACUGACUGACUAGAGUAUGGUAGAGGGUGGUGGAAUUUCCUGUGUAGCGGUGAAAUGCGUAGAUAUAGGAAGGAACACCAGUGGCGAAGGCGACCGCCUGGACUAAUACUGACACUGAGGUGCGAAAGCGUGGGGAGCAAACAGGAUUAGAUACCCUGGUAGUCCACGCCGUAAACGAUGUCAACUAGCCGUUGGAAGCCUUGAGCUUUUAGUGGCGCAGCUAACGCAUUAAGUUGACCGCCUGGGGAGUACGGCCGCAAGGUUGAAACUCAAAUGAAUUGACGGGGGCCCGCACAGCGGUGGAGCAUGUGGUUUAAUUCGAAGCAACGCGAAGAACUUACCAGGCUUGACAUCCAUGAACUUUCCAGAGAUGGAUUGUGCCUUCGGGAACAUUGAGACAGGUGCUGCAUGGCUGUCGUCAGCUCGUG
RNAcentral lists this ribosomal RNA (1056 nucleotides) under uncultured Pseudomonas sp. RNAcentral's name for it is "bacterial SSU rRNA". It matches the Rfam family "Bacterial small subunit ribosomal RNA", at positions 8 to 1064 of the family's 1533-position model. Lineage: Bacteria; Pseudomonadati; Pseudomonadota; Gammaproteobacteria; Pseudomonadales; Pseudomonadaceae. The record is from RNAcentral.